AUACGGAGGGUGCAAACGUUGUUCGGAAUCACUGGGCGUAAAGGGCGCGCAGGCGGUUUGAUUAGUCAGAUGUGAAAGCCCACGGCUUAACCGUGGAAGUGCAUUUGAAACUGUCAGACUUGAGUACUAGAGGGGAAGGUGGAAUUCCCGGUGUAGAGGUGAAAUUCGUAGAUAUCGGGAGGAAUACCGGUGGCGAAGGCGACUUUCUGGCUAGAUACUGACGCUGAGGCGCGAAAGCGUGGGGAGCAAACAGGAUUAGAAACCCCAGUAGUCC
RNAcentral lists this ribosomal RNA (274 nucleotides) under uncultured bacterium. RNAcentral's name for it is "partial 16S ribosomal RNA". It matches the Rfam family "Bacterial small subunit ribosomal RNA", at positions 523 to 796 of the family's 1533-position model. The record is from RNAcentral.